GUGCCAGCAGCCGCGGUAAUACGGAGGAUGCAAGCGUUGUCCGGAUUCAUUGGGUUUAAAGGGUGCGUAGGCGGAAAAUUAAGUCAGCGGUGAAAGCUUACAGCUUAACUGUAAAAAUGCCAUUGAAACUGGUUUUCUUGAGUUCGAUUGAGGUAGAUGGAAUGUACCAUGUAGCGGUGAAAUGCUUAGAUAUGAUACAGAACACCAAUUGCGAAGGCAGUCUACUAAGUCGAUACUGACGCUGAGGCACGAAAGCAUGGGGAGCAAACAGGAUUAGAUACCCUCGUAGUCC
Molecule: ribosomal RNA, 292 nt
Filed under: uncultured bacterium
Lineage: Bacteria
Description: partial 16S ribosomal RNA
Rfam family: Bacterial small subunit ribosomal RNA
Source: RNAcentral